GGAUGCGAUCAUACCAGCACUAAAGCACCGAAUUCCAUCAGAACUCCAAAGUUAAGCGUGCUUGGGCGAGAGUUGAACUAGGAUUGGUGACCUCCUAGGAAGUCCUCGUGUUGCAUUCC
RNAcentral lists this ribosomal RNA (119 nucleotides) under Triticum aestivum (bread wheat). RNAcentral also lists the same sequence under 1 other name. Lineage: Eukaryota; Viridiplantae; Streptophyta; Magnoliopsida; Poales; Poaceae. The record is from RNAcentral.